UAAUACAUGCAAGUCGAACGCGUCUCCGUUAAUGAUUUUAGGUGCUUGCACUUGAAAGAUUUAACAUUGAGACGAGUGGCGAACUGGUGAGUAACACGUGGGUAACCUGCCCUUGAAGUAGGGGAUAACACUUGGAAACAGGUGCUAAUACCGUAUAACAACCAAAACCACCUGGUUUUGGUUUAAAAGACGGCUUCGGCUGUCACUUUAGGAUGGACCCGCGGCGUAUUAGCUUGUUGGUAAGGUAACGGCUUACCAAGGCGAUGAUACGUAGCCGACCUGAGAGGGUAAUCGGCCACAUUGGGACUGAGACACGGCCCAAACUCCUACGGGAGGCAGCAGUAGGGAAUCUUCCACAAUGGACGAAAGUCUGAUGGAGCAACGCCGCGUGAGUGAUGAAGGGUUUCGGCUCGUAAAACUCUGUUGUUGGAGAAGAACAGGUGUCAGAGUAACUGUUGACAUCUUGACGGUAUCCAACCAGAAAGCCACGGCUAACUACGUGCCAGCAGCCGCGGUAAUACGUAGGUGGCAAGCGUUGUCCGGAUUUAUUGGGCGUAAAGCGAGCGCAGGCGGUUUUUUAGGUCUGAUGUGAAAGCCUUCGGCUUAACCGGAGAAGUGCAUCGGAAACCGGGAGACUUGAGUGCAGAAGAGGACAGUGGAACUCCAUGUGUAGCGGUGAAAUGCGUAGAUAUAUGGAAGAACACCAGUGGCGAAGGCGGCUGUCUGGUCUGUAACUGACGCUGAGGCUCGAAAGCAUGGG
Molecule: ribosomal RNA, 760 nt
Filed under: Lentilactobacillus buchneri
Lineage: Bacteria; Bacillati; Bacillota; Bacilli; Lactobacillales; Lactobacillaceae
Description: bacterial SSU rRNA
Rfam family: Bacterial small subunit ribosomal RNA
Source: RNAcentral